CUACGGGAUGCUCCAGUUAGGGAACUUUUCCAAUGCGCGCAAGCGUGAGAAAGCGAGUCAGAGUGAUUUUGAUAUAAUUUCAGAAUCUUUUGUUUGUUGCAAAAAGACAGAUGAAUAAGGAGUGGGCAAGACCGGUGCCAGCCGCCGCGGUAAUCCCGGCGCUCCAAGUCGCAGCCACAGUUAUUGGGUCUAAAACAUUCGUAGCUUGUUUUGUAAGUUCCUUGUGAAAUCUUAGCUCUUAAGGUUAAGGCGUGCAAGGAAUACUGCUUAACUAGAGACCGGAAGAAGUAAGAAGUAUGGUUUAGGUAGCGGUAAAAUGUGUUAAUCUUUACCAGACUAACAAUAGCGAAGGCAUCUUACUAGUACGGAUCUGACAGUGAGGAAUGAAGGCUAGGGUCGCGAAAAGGAUUAGAUACCCGCGUAGUC
RNAcentral lists this ribosomal RNA (426 nucleotides) under uncultured archaeon. RNAcentral's name for it is "partial 16S ribosomal RNA". It matches the Rfam family "Archaeal small subunit ribosomal RNA", at positions 323 to 746 of the family's 1478-position model. The record is from RNAcentral.